CGUAGGGUGCGAGCGUUAAUCGGAAUUACUGGGCGUAAAGCGUGCGCAGGCGGUUUUGUAAGACAGAUGUGAAAUCCCCGGGCUCAACCUAGGACCUGCAUUUGUGACUGCAAGGCUAGAGUACGGUAGAGGGGGAUGGAAUUCCGCGUGUAGCAGUGAAAUGCGUAGAUAUGCGGAGGAACACCGAUGGCGAAGGCAAUCCCCUGGACCUGUACUGACGCUCAUGCACGAAAGCGUGGGGAGCAAACAGGAUUAGAUACCCUGGUAGUCCACGCCCUAAACGAUGUCAACUGGUUGUUGGGUCUUUACUGACUCAGUAACGAAGCUAACGCGUGAAGUUGACCGCCUGGGGAGUACGGCCGCAAGGUUG
Molecule: ribosomal RNA, 370 nt
Filed under: uncultured organism
Description: bacterial SSU rRNA
Rfam family: Bacterial small subunit ribosomal RNA
Source: RNAcentral